UACGUAGGGUGCAAGCGUUGUCCGGAAUUAUUGGGCGUAAAGAGCUCGUAGGCGGUUUGUCGCGUCUGCCGUGAAAGUCCGGGGCUCAACCCCGGAUCUGCGGUGGGUACGGGCAGACUUGAGUGCAGUAGGGGAGACUGGAAUUCCUGGUGUAGCGGUGAAAUGCGCAGAUAUCAGGAGGAACACCGAUGGCGAAGGCAGGUCUCUGGGCUGUAACUGACGCUGAGGAGCGAAAGCAUGGGGAGCGAACAGG
RNAcentral lists this ribosomal RNA (253 nucleotides) under uncultured bacterium. RNAcentral describes it as "partial 16S ribosomal RNA". It matches the Rfam family "Bacterial small subunit ribosomal RNA", at positions 524 to 776 of the family's 1533-position model. The record is from RNAcentral.